AUACGGAGGGGGCAAGCGUUAUCCGGAAUCAUUGGGUUUAAAGGGUCCGCAGGCGGAUUAAUAAGUCAGUGGUGAAAUCCUCUCGCUCAACGAGAGAACUGCCAUUGAAACUGUUAGUCUUGAAUUCGGUCGAAGUAGGCGGAAUGUGUCAUGUAGCGGUGAAAUGCAUAGAUAUGACACAGAACACCGAUAGCGAAGGCAGCUUACUAGACCUGGAUUGACGCUCAUGGACGAAAGCGUGGGGAGCGAACAGGAUUAGAAACCCCAGUAGUCC
Molecule: ribosomal RNA, 274 nt
Filed under: uncultured bacterium
Lineage: Bacteria
Description: partial 16S ribosomal RNA
Rfam family: Bacterial small subunit ribosomal RNA
Source: RNAcentral